GACGAACCGUGCGAACGUUAUUCGGAAUCACUGGGCUUAAAGCGCGUGUAGGCGGACGGGGACGUCGGUCGCUGAAAUCCCCCGGCUCAACCGGGGAACGGGCGCCGAAACGCCCCGUCUCGAGGGACGUAGGGGGACCUGGAACUUCCGGUGGAGCGGUGAAAUGCGUUGAGAUCGGAAGGAACGCCCGUGGCGAAAGCGAGGUCCUGGACGUCUUCUGACGCUGAGACGCGAAAGCUAGGGGAGCGAACGGG
This 254-nucleotide ribosomal RNA is filed under the name uncultured bacterium. Its description in RNAcentral is "partial 16S ribosomal RNA". It matches the Rfam family "Bacterial small subunit ribosomal RNA", at positions 524 to 776 of the family's 1533-position model. The record is from RNAcentral.